AAAAAUUCUUUUGGUAAAAGGAACCAUCCAUCCAACACGUAACCUCAAUAGAAACGUUGAUCUGCUAUAUCCUGAUCAUAUACUACAGUCUAGCUUUUUAACAGCUUUAUCAACAAAGGUUGGUACCGUAGUGCUAGAAUGAUGCGUCAUACUAACUAAUGCUAUUACAUGUAUGUGAGCCAGCGACUACCACGUUGCAUAUUAAAGAUUGCAAAACGUUUUUCGAGUCUUAAAAUUGGCCAAAACGCAUACCGUACUCUACCGAGAUUACGCCCACGUCCGAAAUUACGCCCACCCCCACUUUUGAGUGAAAGUUCCUGCAUAGGCUAAUUUGCCUCGAAAAUACGCCUACCAGGAAGUGAUGCAUUUGUCAGUGAGCAAGUUGUCAAGAAAAGGUUUAGCAGUUUAUUGUGUGCCCUGGUUAGCUCUGAAUAAAUUAUAGCUAGAUCCUAUUAGCAAGUAUAAGAGACAAGGACAAUCUUCUCUGAAUCUCUGUUAAAGACUCUGACAGUGACAAGGAACAACCUUCUGAUGCAGAAUCUUAACUCUUUAUACCUUAGCUACUUUACCCACGCAUUUACCGUUGUUGUAUGUUGAUGUAUUCAUUGUAUUUCAAGAGCUGGCAGGCCUCAGACGCAGACAGAGAACAAUAGUUUCUUAAUGAGUGGGCUUAAUUUCGAGGCAAACACCUGGGUGGGCUUAAUUUCGAGACAAAACUACUGUUUUCGAAAUUAAGCCCAUCCCACCUGUAGCUGCUUUGUAGCAUGCAAUUAGGGUGGGCGUAAUCUCGGUAGAGUACGGUAAUAUAAUUGUCCCUAUACAAAAUGUGAGAGGUAUUUAAAUUGAAACUGAUUUUGUAGAUGUAAUAAUACUAUAAUAGUAUAUUCAUUUAUGCUAUAUAUUGAGAGAUGCUUAAGUACAUGUAAACACUGUAUGUAAACACAGUGCCAGAUCCAGGUGGUUUCAAGUGAAACCCCCUUUUUGGGUCAUGUGAGAGAUCUGAUCAGCAACUUACAUGUAUAGUCAACUACAUAAACAGUUUAGCUGCUACGUAUUAAAACGCUAAGUUAGCCAAAAAUAUUAUUUCAAUAUUAUUUUAUACACAUGCAGUCAACAAUUUCCUUAGCCAAGAUUCUUGUCACUGUGCGUGGGCGUAACAUUGACCUGAAUCUGUCACUUUAAACAACAGGAAAUGACAUUAUAGUUGCUCUAUAUAGCAUGUUGGAAUCUGCAUAGUGCAGCACCCAGUUAGUUUGCAUUCCAAACAAAACUAGCUGAGAGUUUUUUUGUGCAAUGGCUGAAGAAGAAAACAUUAUGAGGCCUGAGGAGCAAAAUGGUCAUCAGCAGUUGAUUGAGAAGAACGUUGAGAAAAAACUGCAUGAAUUUCAAUUACAACAAGAAGAAAAACAACAGUAUUAUUGGUUCUGGUUUGUGGGCCUUUUUGUAGUCAUAAUGGUUGCAGUUGGUGUUGGAAUGGCUUACAAUCGCGGCUAUUUGAAUAUUUCGUCGCCUACUGAAGUACUACUGCAGAAAGCAUUGAACGAAACAAAGGUAAAACUUGCCCAGUUUGAGAAGGAACGAGAUCAAGAUAUUAAGGAUUACAAGCAAAAGAUUUCGAAUUUGGAUGAAAUGUUGAGCAGUAAGACAGAUAUCAAUGCAAUGAAUGUAGUUUGUAAAAAAUUGAAUGAAGAAAAGACUGUUUUCUUCCAAGAACAGCUCGAUCGAUGCGAGAAUAAAGCAGGCAAGCUGGAAGCAAGAAAUGAAGAGUUGCUGAAUGAUGUUGUUCAGUGUAAGGCGUUGAUGAAUCAAGUGAAUUCUCAGCUUGCUUCACAGGAUUCAAGCUGGGCUAGCGGACUUAUCGAUAACAUUGCUAGCACUCUCAAGAGUUUCACCGCUUAGAGAUCGGUGUACAUGAACUAUAUGUAAAUAACCCUUUUUUGUAAAAUUAUGUCCCUAUAUAGUCUCUAUACUUUAUACCAACUCUGUUAUGAUCAUGUACAUCGCAUGUGUAUGUAAUAUGAAGUGAUUUACUAAAGAAGCUGCCUGGUGGUAA
Molecule: long non-coding RNA, 2053 nt
Organism: Halichondria panicea
Lineage: Eukaryota; Metazoa; Porifera; Demospongiae; Suberitida; Halichondriidae
Exons: 2
Source: RefSeq, a predicted model, not a curated record